Molecule: long non-coding RNA, 797 nt
Filed under: Chinchilla lanigera (long-tailed chinchilla)
Lineage: Eukaryota; Metazoa; Chordata; Mammalia; Rodentia; Chinchillidae
Description: lncRNA (ENSCLAG00000026305.1)
Source: RNAcentral
CAAACAUCAUGCUGGGACAAGAUCCCACGAGAUCAGCCAGCCCUGGGACUUGGCGGGGAGCAUGCGUGAGCAAGCGUGCGGGGCACGCUGCCUCCUCUCCCACGGCUGGUCUCAGGCACAGCUGUGACGUGGAUGUGCUUGGUCUUUAGUGUCUCUUCUGGGCUGCCUGCUCUGCUAUGGGGCUAACAGCUCCCACUGGCCCCAGGCACAUCUGCUCCUCCUCUGCCCCAGCUUCUCUCGUCCUGGCUGCAUCCGGCUGGCCUCUUCUUUUCCCUGGGCCAAUAUUUCCAUCUGCUUCAUCCCCAGGGGCCUUCCCAUCUGCUUCCCCUCCCUGGGAUCCAGGAGUGGAAUAAGCUUCUUGUUAGACGACAGCGCCUCAGACCUCAGGUUUUGGCAUCUGCUGCCAGUGGUGUUUGGUUCUACCCCAGGAGCCUGCUCCAAGCAAUCCUUCCAAACAAACAUAAUGCGCUCCCGGAGAGGACUUCUGAGAAAUUCACCGCCUCCAUCUCUUUAAUUAAGAACAGUUUAGCUGACCUGGGAAAGAGACAUUUUAUUGUGAAUUAAUGAAUUAGUCAAAUCACCAUCUCCUAUUGACAGGGGAAUUUAAAAGAACAGAAAUGAGUAACCUUGCAAAUAUUUGAAAUUAAGCACUCUAAUGUCAUCAGAGCAAAGAUAAUAAUAAUAAAAGUUGAAUUAACAUGCAAAACCCAUCAAAGUGUAUUUUACAUCAGUACUUCUCAAAUGUCAGUGUGCACAUGAAUACCCUGGAAAUCUUACUAAAGGCAAUAGGUCCUGAC